CCCAGACUCCUACGGGAGGCAGCAGUGGGGAAUAUUGCACAAUGGGGGGAACCCUGAUGCAGCGACGCCGCGUGGGUGAAGGAGUAUUUCGGUAUGUAAAGCCCUAUCAGCAGGGAAGAAAAUGACGGUACCUGAGUAAGAAGCCCCGGCUAACUACGUGCCAGCAGCCGCGGUAAUACGUAGGGGGCAAGCGUUAUCCGGAUUUACUGGGUGUAAAGGGAGCGUAGACGGCAGUGCAAGUCUGGAGUGAAAGGCGGGGGCUCAACCCCCGGACUGCUCUGGAAACUGUACGGCUGGAGUGCAGGAGAGGUAAGUGGAAUUCCUAGUGUAGCGGUGAAAUGCGUAGAUAUUAGGAGGAGCACCAGUGGCGAAGGCGGCUUACUGGACUGUAACUGACGUUGAGGCUCGAAAGCGUGGGGAGCAAACAGGAUUAGAUACCCUUGUACA
RNAcentral lists this ribosomal RNA (447 nucleotides) under uncultured bacterium. RNAcentral's name for it is "bacterial SSU rRNA". It matches the Rfam family "Bacterial small subunit ribosomal RNA", at positions 330 to 794 of the family's 1533-position model. The record is from RNAcentral.